Small nucleolar RNA from Etheostoma cragini (Arkansas darter), 215 nucleotides. RefSeq annotates it as small nucleolar RNA U3. The transcript has a single exon. The record is from RefSeq and is a predicted model, not a curated record. NCBI's taxonomy places the organism in Eukaryota, Metazoa, Chordata, Actinopteri, Perciformes, Percidae.
AAGACUAUACUUUCAGGUAUCAUUUCUAGAGUUUCUGACUUGAGGAUUGUAUUUCGAACGUGUUUGGUCUUGCUCCCCAUGAUAAUUAUUCGUGAUCUUCCUUUCUGAAAGUGACGCCGACAGAGAGUAAUGAUUCAUUCCAUAUGUUCUCUGUCAUGAUGAUUGUUCUUUGCUUCUUUAUGGAGUAUUAAGGAAGGGACUAUGAUCAGAGUGGU